This 86-nucleotide transfer RNA is filed under the name Thermoplasmata archaeon. RNAcentral describes it as "tRNA-Ser". It matches the Rfam family "tRNA". From Rfam's summary of the family: Transfer RNA (tRNA) molecules are approximately 80 nucleotides in length. Their secondary structure includes four short double-helical elements and three loops (D, anti-codon, and T loops). Further hydrogen bonds mediate the characteristic L-shaped molecular structure. tRNAs have two regions of fundamental functional importance: the anti-codon, which is responsible for specific mRNA codon recognition, and the 3' end, to which the tRNAs corresponding amino acid is attached (by aminoacyl-tRNA synthetases). tRNAs cope with the degeneracy of the genetic code in two manners: having more than one tRNA (with a specific anti-codon) for a particular amino acid; and 'wobble' base-pairing, i.e. permitting non-standard base-pairing at the 3rd anti-codon position. Lineage: Archaea; Methanobacteriati; Thermoplasmatota; Thermoplasmata. The record is from RNAcentral.
GCCGAGGUAGCCUAGUCCGGUAAGGCGCAGGCCUGGAGAGCCUGUGGGCAAUUCUGCCCUCGGGAGUUCAAAUCUCCCCCUCGGCG